UCCGGUGACAAUGGCAAAGAGGUCACACCCGUUCCCAUGCCGAACACGGCCGUUAAGCUCUUUUGCGCCGAUGGUAGUUGGAGGCUUCCU
This 90-nucleotide ribosomal RNA is filed under the name Shouchella clausii. Lineage: Bacteria; Bacillati; Bacillota; Bacilli; Caryophanales; Bacillaceae. The record is from RNAcentral.